GGCUGCCAGCCUGAGGACUCAUAGGAUUCUCCCCAGAUGAUCCUCUUUGCCUUACAGUCCAUGGUGGGGUCUGACAUCGCUGAGCUGCUAAUGCAAGACUGCAAGAAGCUGGAGAAGUACAAGCGGCAGCCCCCUGUGGCCAACCUCAUCAGCCUGACCGAUGAGGACUGGCCAGUGCUGAGCUCUGGGACCCCGAACCUGCUCACGGGAGAGAUCCCCCCCAGUGUGGAGACACCUGCGCAGAUCGUGGAGAAAUUCACUAGGCUGCUCUACUAUGGAAGGAAGAAGGAAGCCUUGGAGUGGGCCAUGAAGAACCACUUGUGGGGUCAUGCUUUGUUCCUGUCCAGCAAGAUGGACCCAUGGACCUACAGCUGGGUCAUGAGUGGCUUCACCAGCACGCUGGCGCUCAAUGACCCACUGCAGACCCUCUUCCAGCUCAUGUCGGGGAGGAUUCCACAGGCAGCCACGUGUUGUGGAGAAAAGCAGUGGGGAGACUGGAGGCCUCACCUGGCUGUGAUUCUGUCGAAUCAGGCUGGGGACCCAGAGCUGUAUCAGCGUGCGAUUGUUGCCAUUGGGGACACCCUGGCUGGGAAGGGGCUUGUGGAGGCAGCUCACUUCUGCUACCUCGUGGCUCACGUGCCCUUUGGCCACUACACCGUGAAGACAGACCAUCUGGUCUUGCUGGGCAGCAGCCACAGUCAAGAGUUUUUGAAAUUUGCAACAACUGAGGCAAUCCAGAGGACGGAAAUCUUCGAGUACUGUCAGAUGCUGGGCCGCCCCAAAUCCUUCAUCCCUUCUUUCCAGGU
Molecule: small RNA, 806 nt
Filed under: Pan troglodytes (chimpanzee)
Lineage: Eukaryota; Metazoa; Chordata; Mammalia; Primates; Hominidae
Description: retained intron
Source: RNAcentral